GACGAACGCUGGCGGCGUGCUUAACACAUGCAAGUCGAACGGAAAGGCCUGCUUUCCCUUGUGGAUUGCGGGUACUCGAGUGGCGAACGGGUGAGUAACACGUGAGUGAUCUGCCCCCAACUUGGGUAUAAGCCUGGGAAACUGGGUCUAAUUCCCGAUAGGACUGCAGGGUGGUGCCUGUGGUGGAAAACGAUUUUCUAGUGGUUGGGGAUGAGCUCGCGGCCUAUCAGCUUGUUGGUGGGGUAAUGGCCUACCAAGGCGGCGACGGGUAGCCGGCCUGAGAGGGUGGACGGCCACAUUGGGACUGAGAUACGGCCCAGACUCAUACGGGAGGCAGCAGUGGGGAAUAUUACACAAUGGGCGGAAGCCUGAUGCAGCGACGCCGCGUGGGGGAUGACGGCCUUCGGGUUGUAAACUCCUUUCGACCGCGAGGAAGCCACCUGGUUGGAAGGGUGGUGACGGUAGUGGUAGAAGAAGCACCGGCUAACUACGUG
RNAcentral lists this ribosomal RNA (494 nucleotides) under uncultured bacterium. RNAcentral describes it as "partial 16S ribosomal RNA". It matches the Rfam family "Bacterial small subunit ribosomal RNA", at positions 28 to 507 of the family's 1533-position model. The record is from RNAcentral.